Molecule: ribosomal RNA, 270 nt
Filed under: uncultured archaeon
Lineage: Archaea
Description: partial 16S ribosomal RNA
Rfam family: Bacterial small subunit ribosomal RNA
Source: RNAcentral
CGAGGGUGCAAGCGUUAAUCGGAAUUACUGGGCGUAAAGCGAGUGUAGGCGGCUAUUUAAGUCGGAUGUGAAAGCCCCGGGCUCAACCUGGGAAUUGCAUUCGAAACUGAAUAGCUAGAGUUUGGUAGAGGUAAGUGGAAUUCCGGGUGUAGCGGUGAAAUGCGUAGAUAUCCGGAGGAACAUCAGUGGCGAAGGCGGCUUACUGGACCAAAACUGACGCUGAGGCUCGAAAGCGUGGGGAGCAAACAGGAUUAGAGACCCGAGUAGUCC